Long non-coding RNA from Oreochromis aureus, 1566 nucleotides. The record is from Ensembl. NCBI's taxonomy places the organism in Eukaryota, Metazoa, Chordata, Actinopteri, Cichliformes, Cichlidae.
GUGUAUGUGUGUGUGUGUGUGUAAUUGUCCCUACACAGUCAUCACAUGCAGAUCCUGUUUGUGUGUAGGGCGCUGCAUUCAGGGUGUCAUCACAGAUCAGGACGAGUUGCAGGGUUUAAAUGUCAAGGAAUUAAAGGCUGUCCUGGUUGAGCAGCAGCAGCGCACCAAUUGGUGCGCAGGUGAGCUCGUGGUGCUUCUAGUGCAACUCCCUGCUCAAACGCAGGAGAAAUAAGUCUGUAGAGGGAGGCCGUUUUGUUCUCAGAUCAACUUCUCCAAUGCACUGUAGACCCAAUGACCCUGUUCUCAUUCUCGCCCUCACCCCUCCCCCUCUAACUGCCACCCGGCCCUGUGGGGCUGGAGCGUGUUCCUCAGAGCAAACACGGGGCUGCGAGCGCGUCUAAAUGAGCCAUUCUGUGAUGACUGAUGCGAGUCUGAGGCCCAACUUAAAGCUCUUAGUUUAAACUGUCUGAGGUGACGCGUUAAACAAUAAAAUGUGUUGUGAUUUCCAGAUGGGUUCAGCGUAGAUCCUGCUGUUGCAACAGGAUGUUUGUGGCCGUCGAGAGAAUGUUAGGGUUGAUGUACAGUAGUUUAAUUGUUAAAAGGUACUUUUUUUUUUCUCCCAGAUUGACUGGUGAUUUACUUUUUUUUUUUUUUUCUUUUUUUUUUUUUACAAGACGUCUCCCCCUUCCCCCACUUCCUUCCUAAAGGUUUGAAAACAGGGUUUCCUGAGGCAUGCUAGCCAGUGACCUCUGACCUUUUUUGUGAUUAGAGGUGGGGGGAAUGCAAAGAGAGCCACGCCAGUACGGGGUGCCAGACUCCCCUCAAGCCUCUGCUCUCCUCUAUUUUUGCUUUAAUUCUUUUUUUUUUUAUGCAGAACCAAAAUGUAAAACGUCAGCAAACUAGGUUUCAGGCCUAACCUGUGUGUAUGUAUAUACCCUGGAUACAAUCAUCGGGAUCUUGUUUUUCAAAGCAAAACAACUUAAUUGAAGAUGAACGUAGUUUCUAAAAAACAUGUAUUAUUAUUUGUAAGUUAACCAUCUGCAUGUCUUCGAGCCUUCUGGCAUUAGCUAAUAAUUUUUAAGAUAAAAAAAAAAAAAAAAAUACAAAAAAAAAAAACUUUUUACACAUUUUAUUUUUUACAAUUUAUUUGCUUACCUAAAUAUCCCAGACAAUAAUGUGACCCUUUUAUUACUUCAAAUUUAUUUUUGUUUUCCAUUUUCUUUUUCUUUUUUUUAAUUUUCCUUAUUUCCUGUGUACUACAUAUAGGCGAUUUAUAACAAAAUGAGAAAAUUAUUGAAGAAAUUUUAAAAUUGAAAUAUAUUUUAUUUGAAAGUUUAUGGACCUUUUAACCGUGAGCCAGGAAAAAUUGUAUAAUCGUAUAAUUUGAGCUGACUUGACGGUUAUGAGAAAUGUAUCAAGAGUUUUAUUUUUUAUGCUUCUUUAAUAAAGUCUUGUUUUGUUUUUGUUUUAUUUUUGUUUCAUUUUUUUACUGGAAAAUAAGAACUUGUCCGUGUGCUUGUGUCUUUAUUGUCAGAGUGGAACUGUGCACAAGACUGCAGCAGCUGC